RNAcentral lists this ribosomal RNA (253 nucleotides) under uncultured bacterium. Its description in RNAcentral is "partial 16S ribosomal RNA". It matches the Rfam family "Bacterial small subunit ribosomal RNA", at positions 524 to 776 of the family's 1533-position model. The record is from RNAcentral.
UACGUAGGGGGCAAGCGUUGUCCGGAUUUAUUGGGCGUAAAGCGCGUGUAGGCGGCCACGCAGGUCCGUUGUGAAAACUCGAGGCUUAACCUCGAGACGUCGAUGGAAACCGCGUGGCUAGAGUCCGGAAGAGGAGAGUGGAAUUCCUGGUGUAGCGGUGAAAUGCGCAGAUAUCAGGAAGAACACCCGUGGCGAAGGCGGCUCUCUGGGACGGUACUGACGCUGAGACGCGAAAGCGUGGGGAGCGAACAGG